UAGUGGAAGCGUCUGGAAAGGCGUGCGAUACAGGGUGACAGCCCCGUACACAAAAAUGCACAUAUUGUGAGCUCGAUGAGUAGGGCGGGACACGUGGUAUCCUGUCUGAAUAUGGGGGGACCAUCCUCCAAGGCUAAAUACUCCUGACUGACCGAUAGUGAACCAGUACCGUGAGGGAAAGGCGAAAAGAACCCCGGCGAGGGGAGUGAAAAAGAACCUGAAACCGUGUACGUACAAGCAGUGGGAGCCUCUUAAUGGGGUGACUGCGUACCUUUUGUAUAAUGGGUCAGCGACUUAUAUUCUGUAGCAAGGUUAACCGAAUAGGGGAGCCGAAGGGAAACCGAGUCUUAACUGGGCGUUAAGUUGCAGGGUAUAGACCCGAAACCCGGUGAUCUAGCCAUGGGCAGGUUGAAGGUUGGGUAACACUAACUGGAGGACCGAACCGACUAAUGUUGAAAAAUUAGCGGAUGACUUGUGGCUGGGGGUGAAAGGCCAAUCAAACCGGGAGAUAGCUGGUUCUCCCCGAAAGCUAUUUAGGUAGCGCCUCGUGAAUUCAUCUCCGGGGGUAGAGCACUGUUUCGGCAAGGGGGUCAUCCCGACUUACCAACCCGAUGCAAACUGCGAAUACCGGAGAAUGUUAUCACGGGAGACACACGGCGGGUGCUAACGUCCGUCGUGAAGAGGGAAACAACCCAGACCGCCAGCUAAGGUCCCAAAGUCAUGGUUAAGUGGGAAACGAUGUGGGAAGGCCCAGACAGCCAGGAUGUUGGCUUAGAAGCAGCCAUCAUUUAAAGAAAGCGUAAUAGCUCACUGGUCGAGUCGGCCUGCGCGGAAGAUGUAACGGGGCUAAACCAUGCACCGAAGCUGCGGCAGCGACACUAUGUGUUGUUGGGUAGGGGAGCGUUCUGUAAGCCUGUGAAGGUGGCCUGUGAGGGUUGCUGGAGGUAUCAGAAGUGCGAAUGCUGACAUAAGUAACGAUAAAGCGGGUGAAAAGCCCGCUCGCCGGAAGACCAAGGGUUCCUGUCCAACGUUAAUCGGGGCAGGGUGAGUCGACCCCUAAGGCGAGGCCGAAAGGCGUAGUCGAUGGGAAACAGGUUAAUAUUCCUGUACUUGGUGUUACUGCGAAGGGGGGACGGAGAAGGCUAUGUUGGCCGGGCGACGGUUGUCCCGGUUUAAGCGUGUAGGCUGGUUUUCCAGGCAAAUCCGGAAAACC
Molecule: ribosomal RNA, 1213 nt
Filed under: Escherichia coli
Lineage: Bacteria; Pseudomonadati; Pseudomonadota; Gammaproteobacteria; Enterobacterales; Enterobacteriaceae
Description: partial 23S ribosomal RNA
Rfam family: Bacterial large subunit ribosomal RNA
Source: RNAcentral